Molecule: ribosomal RNA, 253 nt
Filed under: uncultured bacterium
Lineage: Bacteria
Description: partial 16S ribosomal RNA
Rfam family: Bacterial small subunit ribosomal RNA
Source: RNAcentral
UACGGAGGGGGCUAGCGUUGUUCGGAAUCACUGGGCGUAAAGCGCGCGUAGGCGGCUUGCCAAGUCAGGGGUGAAAGCCCGCGGCUCAACCGCGGAACUGCCCUUGAGACUGGCUCGCUCGAACACGGGAGAGGCGGGUGGAAUUCCGAGUGUAGAGGUGAAAUUCGUAGAUAUUCGGAAGAACACCGGUGGCGAAGGCGGCCCGCUGGACCGUUGUUGACGCUGAGGCGCGAAAGCGUGGGGAGCAAACAGG